This is a long non-coding RNA of Sphaerodactylus townsendi, 546 nucleotides long. RefSeq lists it as uncharacterized. The transcript is spliced from 2 exons. Lineage: Eukaryota; Metazoa; Chordata; Lepidosauria; Squamata; Sphaerodactylidae. The record is from RefSeq and is a predicted model, not a curated record.
UUAAACUGGCUAAAGGCAAAACAGACCCUGCAUCUUGGCUUUCUUUCUGAUUCUUGGGCAAAAUUCUAGGAUCCCAAAUCAACACAAGGUUUUAUUUCAUUAAACAACCGUGAGGUAGAACUAGUGAUCUGCAACUAAUUUUCAGAACAGCAAAUCCGGCAAAAGCAGCCCAAAGAUUAUCCUGAGGUCCUCUCCAGUCUUUCAAGUCAGGAUAGGAUGCCUGACGGGCACAGCAGGUAGAAGCGGGGAAGAAGAAAAUGUCUGAGAAGGGUAUGGCUUCUGACAGCUGGCUACUGCUGAUACCGCAAAAUGACAGCUCUCUUUGGAAAGGUGGAACGUAAGAGCUAAUUCACACAUGUGUUUCUGUCACUUAACAAUUUGCAUGUGAAAAUGAGCCAACCUGGCUCAAGCCACACAGAAAGAACUUCCUGUCGACUUGUAUUGUCUCAAUUGAUUUUUUUCUCUAGUUGUGAAGCUGGAAAUCCUUUAAUGGUGUAUAAGCAUGUGUGAAACAAGCCUCUUAACAGCAAAUAAAUCCUAAAGGGA